RNAcentral lists this small RNA (405 nucleotides) under Arabidopsis thaliana (thale cress). Its description in RNAcentral is "putative long intergenic non-coding RNA". The record is from RNAcentral. Lineage: Eukaryota; Viridiplantae; Streptophyta; Magnoliopsida; Brassicales; Brassicaceae.
CCAUCCAUAAUAUGGCUCCAUCAUAAUCUACUCUAGUGUACUUGUGCAGUCUGGAAGACCCAUUGUGUGGCCUAUGCAUUUAUCUCUGAGACAGUACUGCCCCCAUCAAAUGUGUGGGAAAGAUAUCAUGUGAUAUGAAAAGACUCUAAUAACUGAAGGUGAAUAUCAUACUAAGACAGUCUCGGGUAUGGAAAGGAUUUAUUGGCAAUUGAGGGUACAGCCAACGGCAAGCUUAGGCGGUACAUGAUAUCUUACCCAGUAAUAUUUCAUGGCAAUUGAGGGUCGAGAGAUCCCCUCUUACUCAGUAAUAUCGAUUUCAUCCACUAUAACGAUUGAUGUUCUUGUUUUUUCUUAAAAAUAAAAAACAAAUGAAAUACUGAAUUAGUUUAAAAAACAACAAUAAAU